Molecule: ribosomal RNA, 448 nt
Filed under: uncultured bacterium
Lineage: Bacteria
Description: bacterial SSU rRNA
Rfam family: Bacterial small subunit ribosomal RNA
Source: RNAcentral
CCAGACUCCUACGGGAGGCAGCAGUGGGGAAUAUUGGGCAAUGGGCGCAAGCCUGACCCAGCAACGCCGCGUGAAGGAAGAAGGCUUUCGGGUUGUAAACUUCUUUUAAGAGGGAAGAGAAGAAGACGGUACCUCUUGAAUAAGCCACGGCUAACUACGUGCCAGCAGCCGCGGUAAUACGUAGGUGGCAAGCGUUGUCCGGAUUUACUGGGUGUAAAGGGUGCGUAGGCGGAUCGUUAAGUCAGUGGUCAAAGGGGGGGCCCCCACCCCUGCCCGCCAUUGAAACUGGCGCUCUUGAGUGGAAGAGAAGUAUGCGGAAUGCGUGGUGUAGCGGUGAAAUGCAUAGAUAUCACGCAGAACCCCGAUUGCGAAGGCAGCAUGCCGGCUUCCGACUGACGCUGAAGCACGAAAGCGUGGGGAUCGAACAGGAUUAGAUACCCGCGUAGCA